Seriola dumerili (greater amberjack) is the source of this 673-nucleotide long non-coding RNA. RefSeq lists it as uncharacterized. Lineage: Eukaryota; Metazoa; Chordata; Actinopteri; Carangiformes; Carangidae. The transcript has 4 exons. The record is from RefSeq and is a predicted model, not a curated record.
CUCCUCAGUCUCAGUGGGCUGGAGGCAGCAGGUGAAAGGUGUGUCAGAGUCAGGCAGCCUCAUGCUACAGAACUUAUCUCCACAUCAUGGGGGAAUAUACACCUGUGAACUGAGUGAUGCUGAGGAGACACUGAUAACCAACACCUUUCUGAGGAUACAGAGUCCAGAUAAGGAUUUAAUCAUUCAUGGAGUCAUUCCACACUUGGUGGGUGCAGCUGUUUUGGUCUCAGCAGCAGUUGUUCUUGUCUGGUACCUUGAAAAGAAAAGAGACUCAAAAUAUCUCCCAAGUAUAUGCGGAAACGGGUACAGACAGUCAAACUACAAUCAAAUAUCAACGUUGAUUCCUCUCACCAGCUGCUGAGCUGCUGCGGCUCUGUCCACCGUCGUCCUCCACUGAAGACACGACAUCCAGGAAAACACUGGCCCACAGUGGAGCGACCUCAUCACCAACCACCCACACCUGGAGCUCAUCAACCGUGACUUACUGAAAUACAACUUUCACAACUAUCCCGAUCCAGGAGGCGCCCUCUGGUGGUGGGAGGUGGAAACACUGAAACGGCUCCAGCAACAGAAAACAACAAAAACCUUCAACCUACAAUUAAAAAUUCAACUUUAAUAUAUUUAAUUUAUUGAAAAUAAAUUUACUAAUAUUAAACAUAUCCAUAAAUGCCUC